RNAcentral lists this ribosomal RNA (557 nucleotides) under uncultured fungus. RNAcentral describes it as "eukaryotic LSU rRNA". It matches the Rfam family "Eukaryotic large subunit ribosomal RNA", at positions 70 to 652 of the family's 3401-position model. Lineage: Eukaryota; Fungi. The record is from RNAcentral.
AGGGAUUGCCCUAGUAACGGCGAGUGAAGCGGCAACAGCUCAAAUUUGAAAUCUGGCUUCGGCCCGAGUUGUAAUUUGCAGAGGAUGCUUCUGGCGCGGUGCCUUCCGAGUUCCCUGGAACGGGACGCCACAGAGGGUGAGAGCCCCGUAUGGUCGGACACCAAGCCUGUGUGAAGCUCCUUCGACGAGUCGAGUAGUUUGGGAAUGCUGCUCUAAAUGGGAGGUAAAUCUCUUCUAAAGCUAAAUACCGGCCAGAGACCGAUAGCGCACAAGUAGAGUGAUCGAAAGAUGAAAAGCACCUUGAAAAGGGGGUUAAAUAGUACGUGAAAUUGUUGAAAGGGAAGCACUUGUGACCAGACUUGGGCCGGGCGGCUCAUCAGGGGUUCUCCCCUGUGCACUCCGCCCGGCACAGGCCAGCAUCGGUUCUCGUGGGGGGAUAAGACCGUUAGGAACGUAGCACCCUCCGGGGUGUGUUAUAGCCUGGCGGACGAUACCCCCGUGGGGACCGAGGUCCGCGCUCCGCAAGGAUGCUGGCGUAAUGGUCACCAGUGACCCGU